CCACCUAAGAACCCUUACACAAUACUGAGUAAUUCUAUACUCCUAUAGAAGAUUUCAUGUUAAAACUAGUAACAAGAAGAAGAACUUCUCUUAAGUGCAAGUGUAAAUCAGACAGGACACCCCGCUGACAAUUAACACCCGUGAACAAAAAGUAGUAACUUAACAAGAAAAUCCUACUACACCCCAUGUUAACCUAACAACAGCGCACUACAAGAAAGAUUUAAAGAAAGAGAAGGAACUCGGCAAAUAAUAACCUCGCCUGUUUACCAAAAACAUCGCCUCUUGAAUAAUAUAAGAGGUCCAGCCUGCCCAGUGACUCUGUUCAACGGCCGCGGUAUCCUAACCGUGCGAAGGUAGCGUAAUCACUUGUUCUUUAAAUGAGGACUAGUAUGAACGGCACCACGAAGGUUAUGCUGUCUCCUCUUUCCAAUCAGUGAAACUAAUCUCCCCGUGAAGAAGCGGGGAUAUACAUAUAAGACGAGAAGACCCUAUGGAGCUUUAAACCACACAACACCUGCUCCAACUUAACUAACUUCCAGAAAACCCCCGUCUACCCAUGCAGGAUGAUUGUCAGUUUUAGGUUGGGGUGACCGCGGAGCAUAAAAUAACCUCCACAUUGAAAGGAGCCCACUCCUUAGCUAAGAGCCACACCUCCACGCAUCAACAAAAUGACAUUAAUUGACCCAAUAUAUUGACCAACGAACCAAGUUACCCUAGGGAUAACAGCGCAAUCCACUUUAAGAGCCCCUAUCGACAAGUGGGUUUACGACCUCGAUGUUGGAUCAGGGUAUCCCGGUGGUGCAGCCGCUACCA
Molecule: ribosomal RNA, 813 nt
Filed under: Nymphargus sp. KU202801
Lineage: Eukaryota; Metazoa; Chordata; Amphibia; Anura; Centrolenidae
Description: partial 16S ribosomal RNA
Rfam family: Bacterial large subunit ribosomal RNA
Source: RNAcentral